CCCUUAGAUGUUCUGGGCCGCACGCGCGCUACACUGAUGCAUUCAACGAGUCUAAAGCCUGCUCUGAUAGGGGUGGGUAAUCUUUUGAAUGUGCAUCGUGAUUGGGAUAGAUGAUUGCAAUUUUUCAUCUUCAACGAGGAAUGCCUAGUAAACGCAAGUCAUCAGCUUGCAUUGAUUACGUCCCUGCCCUUUGUAUACGCCGCCCGUCGCUCCUACCGAUUGAAUGAUCCGAUGAAUAUCAUGGAUUGAGGAUGCAAGUAGGUUCGCCUAUCUUCAUCUACGAGAAGUGAAGUAAAUCUUAUCAUUUAGAGGAAGGAGAAGUCGUAACA
This 329-nucleotide ribosomal RNA is filed under the name uncultured eukaryote. RNAcentral describes it as "partial 18S ribosomal RNA". It matches the Rfam family "Eukaryotic small subunit ribosomal RNA", at positions 1470 to 1796 of the family's 1831-position model. The record is from RNAcentral.